This 468-nucleotide ribosomal RNA is filed under the name uncultured bacterium. Its description in RNAcentral is "SSU rRNA". It matches the Rfam family "Bacterial small subunit ribosomal RNA", at positions 26 to 518 of the family's 1533-position model. The record is from RNAcentral.
AGGAUAAACGCUGGCGGCGUGCCUAACACAUGCAAGUCGAACGCGCUUUCGGGCUUCGGUGCGAGAGCGAGUGGCGGACGGGUGAGUAACACAUGGGUACCUGCCUUUCAGUGAGGGAUACCGGCGAGAAAUCGCCGACAAUACCGCAUGGGCUUGUGGGAACACAAGCAAAGUGGCGCAAGCCACGCUGGAAGAUGGGCCUGUGGCCGAUUAGCUAGUUGGGGGGGUAACGGCCUCCCAAGGCGACGAUCGGUAGCUGGUCUGAGAGGACGAUCAGCCACACUGGGAUUGAGAACGGCCCAGACUCCUACGGGGGCAGCAGUGAGGAAUUUUCCGCAAUGGACGAAAGUCUGACGGAGCAACGCCGCGUGCAGGAGGAAGGUUUCGGAUCGUAAACUGCUUUUCUCGGGGACGAGCAAGGACGGUACCCGAGGAAGAAGCCCCGGCUAACUACGCGCCAGCAGCCGC